Molecule: ribosomal RNA, 603 nt
Filed under: Triticum aestivum (bread wheat)
Lineage: Eukaryota; Viridiplantae; Streptophyta; Magnoliopsida; Poales; Poaceae
Description: partial small subunit ribosomal RNA
Source: RNAcentral
CUUGCAUCUCCAAAAAUUCAGGGGGGGAUGGGUUUUCGCGAUAUGGAGCUAUUCAACCUUGCACUUCUUGGGAAGCAUGGAUGGAGGUUCAUGGUCAGUCCUAAUUCCCUAUGCGCCCGGAUUAUGAAGGGUCGAUACUACCCGGAUUCAGACUUUCUGCAUGCCACAGUGCCGAAGUCAGCCUCCCCAAUUUGGCGCGCGAUUGUGGCUGGGCGUGAGGCCCUUCAAGCGGGUUUGAUCAUGCGAGUUGGUGAUGGAAGCUCUAUCUCUAUAUGGGAAGAUAAGUGGAUUCUAGGCACCAUUAGUAUGUCGCCCAUGUCAAUUAUCACUACUACUACAUUACAUAAAGUCAAUGAGCUCAUUGAUGAAGAUAAUUGGACAUGGAAGACGGAUCUUCUUCGACAAAACUUUCUUGCUCCAGAUGCAGAAGCUAUAUUAAACAUACCAUUACGCAUCGGAGGUGGACAGGAUUUCUUUGCUUGGGCUUUUGAAAACUCAGGUGUCUACACAGUCAAAUCAGCGUACUGUGCUCUCGUGAAUCAGAAAGAGCGUCAUGCUCUCGAGGAAGGGACGGUUACCGGCGCCUCAAAAUCGGAACAAUAG